UACAGAGGUCCCAAGCGUUGUUCGGAUUCACUGGGCGUAAAGGGUGCGCAGGUGGGUUUGCAAGUUCGAUGUGAAAGCCCCGGGCUUAACCCGGGAAUGGCAUUGGAUACUGCAGAUCUGGAGGAUCGGAGGGGGGACUGGAAUUCUUGGUGUAGCAGUGAAAUGCGUAGAUAUCAAGAGGAACACCAGUGGCGAAGGCGAGUCCCUGGACGAUACCUGACACUGAGGCACGAAAGCUAGGGGAGCAAACAGGAUUAGAUACCCAGUAGUCC
RNAcentral lists this ribosomal RNA (272 nucleotides) under uncultured prokaryote. RNAcentral describes it as "partial 16S ribosomal RNA". It matches the Rfam family "Bacterial small subunit ribosomal RNA", at positions 524 to 796 of the family's 1533-position model. The record is from RNAcentral.